Molecule: long non-coding RNA, 438 nt
Organism: Dermacentor albipictus
Lineage: Eukaryota; Metazoa; Arthropoda; Arachnida; Ixodida; Ixodidae
Source: RefSeq, a predicted model, not a curated record
GUUAGAAAAACCAAUCGUAAAACCAUUUUUCCGAUCCAUAGGUGUGUUUUAAACUUGCAUUUCUAUAAGAACUGUCAACAUGAAGGCCGCUAUACUCUUCAUACUUUUGGUGACCGAUUUCGUCAAGAUUAUCAAAAGCGGACUUCCGAAGCAGCCUGACGCAGGAGCUAAGCACGCGUGUACCGCUAACUGCAAAGGGCUGCAUGUAGGAUCAGCAUGUGGUACGGGCUGUCACUGCAGUCAGCACCGCCUGUUCGCUAUUAUUUUAGUGUGCCUGGCUGACAGCUCCAGAACACCAACUGGCAUUGUUCGUCCGCAUCGUGGAAGAGGGUAGCUCAUACGGGCUCUUCAUUAUUCUGGUGGAAGUCUCAAUAUGCACGGAUAUUACUACUCAUACCUUAGCGCUUAUAAUAAAGCUGGGGUACUUGUGCAAAGGAA